ACGAACGCUGGCGGCGUGCUUAACACAUGCAAGUCGAGCGGAAAGGCCCUUCGGGGUACUCGAGCGGCGAACGGGUGAGUAACACGUGAGUAACCUGCCCUAGACUUUGGGAUAACCCUCGGAAGCGGGGGCUAAUACCGGAUACUCCUUGACUGUCGCAUGAUGGUCUCGGGAAAGUUUUUCGGUCUGGGAUGGACUCGCGGCCUAUCAGCUUGUUGGUGGGGUAAUGGCCUACCAAGGCGAGGACGGGUAGCCGGCCUGAGAGGGCGACCGGCCACACUGGGACUGAGACACGGCCCAGACUCCUACGGGAGGCAGCAGUGGGGAAUAUUGCACAAUGGGCGGAAGCCUGAUGCAGCGACGCCGCGUGAGGGAUGACGGCCUUCGGGUUGUAAACCUCUUUCAGCAGGGACGAAGCGAGAGUGACGGUACCUGCAGAAGAAGCGCCGGCCAACUACGU
Molecule: ribosomal RNA, 460 nt
Filed under: uncultured bacterium
Lineage: Bacteria
Description: bacterial SSU rRNA
Rfam family: Bacterial small subunit ribosomal RNA
Source: RNAcentral